Molecule: ribosomal RNA, 584 nt
Filed under: Aureobasidium pullulans
Lineage: Eukaryota; Fungi; Ascomycota; Dothideomycetes; Dothideales; Saccotheciaceae
Description: eukaryotic LSU rRNA
Rfam family: Eukaryotic large subunit ribosomal RNA
Source: RNAcentral
UCUUAGUAACGGCGAGUGAAGCGGCAACAGCUCAAAUUUGAAAGCUAGCCUUCGGGUUCGCAUUGUAAUUUGUAGAGGAAGAUUUGGGCGAAGCCGCCUGUCUAAGUUCCUUGGAACAGGACGUCACAGAGGGUGAGAAUCCCGUAUGUAAGAGGAAAUGGCACCCUAUGUCAAUCUGCUUCGACGAGUCGCGUUGUUUGGGAAUGCAGCUCUAAAUGGGAGGUAAAUUUCUUCUAAAGCUAAAUAUUGGCGAGAGACCGAUAGCGCACCAGUAGAGUGAUCUAAAGAUGAAAAGCACUUUGAAAAGAGAGUUAAAAAGCACGUGAAAUUGUUGAAAGGAAAGCGCUUGCCAUCAGACUUGUUUAAACUGUUCGGCCGGUCUUCUGACCGGUUUACUCAGUUUGGACAGGCCAGCAUCAGUUUCGGCGGCCGGAUAAAGGCUCUCGGAAUGUGGCCUCCACUUCGGUGGAGGUGUUAUAGCCCAGGGUGUAAUACGGCAGCCCGGGACUGAGGUCCGCGCUUCGGCUAGGAUGCUGGCGUAAUGGUUGUAAGCGACCCGCUGAAAAAGGGGACCAAAAAACCGU